CCUACGGGAGGCAGCAGUAGGGAAUCUUCCACAAUGGACGAAAGUCUGAUGGAGCAACGCCGCGUGAGCGAUGAAGGCCUUCGGGUCGUAAAGCUCUGUUGUUAGGGAAGAACAAGUAUCGGAGUAACUGCCGGUACCUUGACAGUACCUAACCAGAAAGCCACGGCUAACUACGUGCCAGCAGCCGCGGUAAUACGUAGGUGGCAAGCGUUGUCCGGAAUUAUUGGGCGUAAAGCGCGCGCAGGCGGUCCUUUAAGUCUGAUGUGAAAGCCCACGGCUCAACCGUGGAGGGUCAUUGGAAACUGGGGGACUUGAGUGCAGAAGAGGAAAGCGGAAUUCCACGUGUAGCGGUGAAAUGCGUAGAGAUGUGGAGGAACACCAGUGGCGAAGGCGGCUUUCUGGUCUGUAACUGACGCUGAGGCGCGAAAGCGUGGGGAGCAAACAGGAUUAGAUACCCUGGUAGUCCACGCCGUAAACGAUGAGUGCUAAGUGUUAGGGGGUUUCCGCCCCUUAGUGCUGCAGCUAACGCAUUAAGCACUCCGCCUGGGGAGUACGGCCGCAAGGCUGAAACUCAAAGGAAUUGACGG
RNAcentral lists this ribosomal RNA (587 nucleotides) under uncultured bacterium. RNAcentral describes it as "bacterial SSU rRNA". It matches the Rfam family "Bacterial small subunit ribosomal RNA", at positions 338 to 916 of the family's 1533-position model. The record is from RNAcentral.